Molecule: non-coding RNA, 327 nt
Organism: Paramuricea clavata
Lineage: Eukaryota; Metazoa; Cnidaria; Anthozoa; Malacalcyonacea; Plexauridae
Source: the annotation of a GenBank genome assembly
ACAAUAUACAACGAACAUAAAUCUAAUAACAACACGAUAUUUGACAGGACAGAUUACGAGACUUGUUACAAGACAAACAUAUAGAUUUCCAUGUCCUUGGAUCAUCAACGUUAAAAACGUCUUCCAACGCUAACUUGUAAUAUUUUGAAAGUCCGUUUUUGAAUUGUCCUAAACUAAUGUUAUUGCUUGUCAAACGUUUUGGUAGUGCGUUCCAUAGUCUCUUUGUUCGGUUGAGAAAUGACCUUUGGUAGGUAGUGGUCUUGCAUUGUGCCGUUGUGAUUGACAGGUGAUUGGGAUUAGACGACCUGGUUUGUCUUCUGUUGUUAU